Molecule: ribosomal RNA, 465 nt
Filed under: Vreelandella stevensii
Lineage: Bacteria; Pseudomonadati; Pseudomonadota; Gammaproteobacteria; Oceanospirillales; Halomonadaceae
Description: partial 16S ribosomal RNA
Rfam family: Bacterial small subunit ribosomal RNA
Source: RNAcentral
CCUACGGGUGGCAGCAGUGGGGAAUAUUGGACAAUGGGCGAAAGCCUGAUCCAGCCAUGCCGCGUGUGUGAAGAAGGCCUUCGGGUUGUAAAGCACUUUCAGUGGGGAAGAAAGCCUUGGGGCUAAUACCCUCGAGGAAGGACAUCACCCACAGAAGAAGCACCGGCUAACUCCGUGCCAGCAGCCGCGGUAAUACGGAGGGUGCGAGCGUUAAUCGGAAUUACUGGGCGUAAAGCGCGCGUAGGCGGUCUGAUAAGCCGGUUGUGAAAGCCCCGGGCUCAACCUGGGAACGGCAUCCGGAACUGUCAGGCUAGAGUGCAGUAGAGGAAGGUAGAAUUCCCGGUGUAGCGGUGAAAUGCGUAGAGAUCGGGAGGAAUACCAGUGGCGAAGGCGGCCUUCUGGACUGACACUGACGCUGAGGUGCGAAAGCGUGGGUAGCAAACAGGAUUAGAUACCCUAGUAGUC